This 450-nucleotide ribosomal RNA is filed under the name uncultured bacterium. Its description in RNAcentral is "partial 16S ribosomal RNA". It matches the Rfam family "Bacterial small subunit ribosomal RNA", at positions 354 to 796 of the family's 1533-position model. The record is from RNAcentral.
GUGGGGAAUAUUGGACAAUGGGCGAAAGCCUGAUCCAGCCAUGCCGCGUGUGUGAAGAAGGUCUUCGGAUUGUAAAGCACUUUAAGUUGGGAGGAAGGGCAGUAAGUUAAUACCUUGCUGUUUUGACGUUACCGACAGAAUAAGCACCGGCUAACUUCGUGCCAGCAGCCGCGGUAAUACGAAGGGUGCAAGCGUUAAUCGGAAUUACUGGGCGUAAAGCGCGCGUAGGUGGUUUUGUAAGUUGGAGGUGAAAUCCCCGGGCUCAACCUGGGAACUGACUCCAAAAGUGCAAGACUAGAGUACGGUAGAGGGUAGUGGAAUUUCCUGUGUAGAGGUGAAAUGCGUAGAUAUAGGAAGGAACACCAGUGGCGAAGGCGACUACCUGGACUGAUACUGACACUGAGGUGCGAAAGCGUGGGGAGCAAACAGGAUUAGAAACCCCUGUAGUCC